RNAcentral lists this ribosomal RNA (25 nucleotides) under Bipolaris sorokiniana. Its description in RNAcentral is "partial 18S ribosomal RNA". RNAcentral also lists the same sequence under 1 other name. Lineage: Eukaryota; Fungi; Ascomycota; Dothideomycetes; Pleosporales; Pleosporaceae. The record is from RNAcentral.
UGGUGAACCUGCGGAGGGAUCAUUA